AUGAUAGUCACAGAGAGAGAGAGGAGAGAGAGAGAGAGAGAGAGAGAGAGAGAGACAGACAGGCAGAGGGAGAAGCAGGCUCCAUGCACCGGGAGCCCAACGUGGGAUUUGAUCCCGGUCUCCAGGAUCGCGCCCUGGGCCAAAGGCAGGUGCCAAACCGCUGCGCCACCCAGGGAUCCCAGAAGAUUCAGUUUUCUAGAAUCCCUAGAGAGGAGCUAUUUGAAGAAAAGUCUUUAAGAGAAGAAAGAACAAAGAUAAGAGACUUUUAUCAGAAGGACAGGUGAAGACAAGAUUUAAUUCUUUGUAAAAAGAAAUCAUCCAACAUUCCACGUCUAUCUAAGUGAAGUUUCCCUAACUGGAGGUAAGAUACAAAGUUUAGAAAGGCACAAAUAUAUGAAUUGGAGGAAAAAAGACAGGUAUUGGAACUUGCUAAAGACCAUACAUCAAGUGAGUGUGAAUUAAGCCUUUCAUUUUUUAUUUCACCCUACAGAUAACUCAUCAUUUAAAGAUAUAUUUAUGAACAGGGUAUAAAGGCUCAUCUUGAAAAUUCCCUUUGUCAAUUACAUUAAUAAAGUAUAGUUUUAAUAAAAUACGGUUUUAAAC
Molecule: long non-coding RNA, 603 nt
Filed under: Vulpes vulpes (red fox)
Lineage: Eukaryota; Metazoa; Chordata; Mammalia; Carnivora; Canidae
Description: lncRNA (ENSVVUG00000013646.1)
Source: RNAcentral